Molecule: ribosomal RNA, 500 nt
Filed under: Enterococcus faecium
Lineage: Bacteria; Bacillati; Bacillota; Bacilli; Lactobacillales; Enterococcaceae
Description: bacterial SSU rRNA
Rfam family: Bacterial small subunit ribosomal RNA
Source: RNAcentral
UCUUUUUCCACCGGAGCUUGCUCCACCGGAAAAAGAGGAGUGGCGAACGGGUGAGUAACACGUGGGUAACCUGCCCAUCAGAAGGGGAUAACACUUGGAAACAGGUGCUAAUACCGUAUAACAAUCGAAACCGCAUGGUUUUGAUUUGAAAGGCGCUUUCGGGUGUCGCUGAUGGAUGGACCCGCGGUGCAUUAGCUAGUUGGUGAGGUAACGGCUCACCAAGGCGACGAUGCAUAGCCGACCUGAGAGGGUGAUCGGCCACAUUGGGACUGAGACACGGCCCAAACUCCUACGGGAGGCAGCAGUAGGGAAUCUUCGGCAAUGGACGAAAGUCUGACCGAGCAACGCCGCGUGAGUGAAGAAGGUUUUCGGAUCGUAAAACUCUGUUGUUAGAGAAGAACAAGGAUGAGAGUAACUGUUCAUCCCUUGACGGUAUCUAACCAGAAAGCCACGGCUAACUACGUGCCAGCAGCCGCGGUAAUACGUAGGUGGCAAGCGUU